Molecule: ribosomal RNA, 117 nt
Organism: Danio rerio (zebrafish)
Lineage: Eukaryota; Metazoa; Chordata; Actinopteri; Cypriniformes; Danionidae
Source: Ensembl
GCUUACAGCCAUGUCACCCUGCAGACCAAGACCGGUUACUCACUAAAGCUAAGCAGGGCUGAGCCUGGUCAGUACUUGGAUGGGAGACCACUAGGGAACACUAGGCUGCUGUUGGAA